Long non-coding RNA from Cercocebus atys (sooty mangabey), 3929 nucleotides. RefSeq lists it as uncharacterized. The record is from RefSeq and is a predicted model, not a curated record. NCBI's taxonomy places the organism in Eukaryota, Metazoa, Chordata, Mammalia, Primates, Cercopithecidae. The transcript is spliced from 2 exons.
AGAAAAGAUGUAACAUGAUUAUGAAACACAUUCUCAUUAAAGUGGAAAUUAACACCUGGUCAAAAAUAUAUGAUGGCUGAAAAACAAUUUUUUUGAGGGGUAACUUCUCUAGGGGAAUGAUUAUUUUUCUUUGAAAGUGUAAAGGUUUAUAUCUCAAGUUUAAGACUUAACUAUAUUAUCAAACCCUCAUGGCACCACAUACAUCACAUCACUUGCCUAAUUCAAUGGUUUUCAAAGUGUGGUCCCUGGAAUAACAGCAUUAGCAUUGCUUGGGAACCUGUUAGAAAUACAAAUUCUUGGCCCCACUCCAGAACUACUGAAUCAAAAAUUAUGGAGAUGGGGCCCAGUACUGUGAUUCUUUUGCUUCCUAUAGUUUGAGAACCAUUGGCCUAAUUUACUGAUUAAAAUGGGAAACUUUCCUGUACAAUUUUAGAAUAAAAUUAUUCAUACAAAAUAAAUCAACAGUUAUAAGAUUACUUACAAAAAUGGGAGCAUUUAGUCAUCAACUCAACAAGGUAAAAUACUUCAAUUAUUUCAAGGUGUGUAUAUUAUGGCACCUCUCUCUUAUCACAAGUAACCUGGGUUUUACUAAAUGAUGAACAAUCAUACUCAUUCUGAAUUCAAUUACCCAAGCACAGUGUUCUCCAUAUGGCUUCUCUUAGCCUCAGGGUAUUACCACUAACAUAGGAGAGUAAAAGGAAUAAUUGUCCUCUCCAAAAGAACACAGCUUGAAAUAUAGUCAAAGGUCAAAGGGAUUAUUGGAAAAAUGAUACGGGAAAUUAUUGUACUUAGACCACAAAGGAAACCACUCUCAAAUGUUUUCCAUGUGGGUUUUAAAAUCAUUCCAGAACACUGAGUUGAAACUGUGAUUUGAUUAAAAAGUGUCAAGGCAACUUAGUUAGAUGUAGCCAUUUCUAAUGGACAAGUAUAGGUUUGCCAAAUAGCUUAAGCAGUCUUUAGAGAGCCAUACAGGAAAAGAUACAAAAUCUACCAAGCAAAACUAAAGAAGCAUAAAAGCAGAUAUAAAGAACCUCUUGGUACUCCAGGUUGGUAUGACAAGGCCAGAACAGGGAUUCUGAAUGGACAGCACAGGGAACAGAUAAAUUUCAAAAUUCAAUCAAUGAAAAAGAAAAAAUUGCAAACUAGUGAUAAGGAGUAAGAGGACAGGCCAGAACGCUUUAAAUGUAGAACAGAUCUUAAAUAACAGAACACCUAAUACUAAAACCGCCACCUAUCCUCAAUCAAUGUAUCUGAACUGCUUUUACCAAAAAGGGAGAUGGAUUUUUACAUUCUUUGGUUUGGUUCCACUUAUGACUAACUGGUUACAUGAUUGUCCUGGCUUGGAAACUCAGCCUCUGGCCAUGGACCAGAACUAAAUAAAAUACACUCCAUACAUUAGUACUCCCCAUCUUAAAAACAAAACAGAACUCUCUUCUGGAGAGGGGAGAGAAUGGGAAAGGCCUAAGGAUGCUAAAAACUUCUUAUGCCAUUAUAGGAACUGAGCAGAUAUUGGUCUAAACUUGUUGAAUCAAUUGACAGAAAUAUUUGGAUAUUAUUUACAAAUAUGGAGAUAUGUUCCAGAAGACACAGCUUAAAAGUUGGGAAUAGUUGCCUCUGGGGAUCAGGGGAGGGAAAGUGAGGUGGGGGACUAUUGUUUUAAAGCUUUUUAGCACAACUUGCCUUUAUGUGUCUGUAUGAUGUUUUAAAAAAAAAAAACACAAACUCACUCAAUUUCACAUCUCCUGCCUGUAAGUACCUCUCUCUCUCUCCACUCCCCUGCAUGGUCAAACCUCUUGAAAAAAACUAAUAGAACAUGUUGAGCUCUUAUUCACCACCGUAUGCUAGUGCCUAGCAACUGCCUGGUCAAUAAAUGAAUGAACAAAUUGACUAAUCCACACCAGAACCAGGACACUAGCCUGUUUAGCACCUGGGACAAAUUCUAAGCCAACGUGAGCCAUAGGACAGAAAACAAAGUGACAAAAUAUUUUAAAGACAGUUGACAAGUAACCCAAUAAACUUCAAUGGCAUUAAUAAACACGUACUAUAUGAUCACCACAGAAUCUCAGGAGAGGACCUCAAAAAUUAUUAGUUUUGCCACCUUAAAGAGGCUUAAAGUCUAUUAUAUUGUCACCAAGUGCUUUUUCAGCCUCUACUUUAAAAACUCAAGGGACUGAUGAAUUGCUUUGAUUAACUGACUGAGCUCUUCAGUCAAGACAUACUUUUGAAUUUCUGCCAUGCUCUCAGCAGUGUUCUAAGAAUUGUGAAAACAAGCUUCCUGCUCAAAAUUCUACCAGGGAGAGACAGACAGUAAUCAGGCAAGUAAACAAACAAGGUAACUACAGAGUUGUGGUGGAGAGAGAGUAAGCGUGUUUCAAUAGAAUGAUCAGGGAAGGAUAACAUUUGAGUGAGAGGAAAGACUGAGAAGCUAAGGGAAAAUCUGAGGAAAAGAAGACUAGAAAGGAACAGAAUGUGCCAGGGCCCCGAGAUAGGAAAGAAACUGACAUAUUCAAGGAACAAAAAAGCCAGUGUGAUUAGGAUGUAUUGAGUGAAGAAGAGAGACUACAAGACAAGGUGGGAAUCAGAUCAUGCGGGUCCUUGGUUAAGAGUCUGGAUUUUACUGUAUGCCAGGGGUGUCCAACCUUUUGGCUUCCCUGGGCCCCAGUGGAAGAAGAACUGUCUUGGGGCACACAUAAAAUACACUAACACUAAUGACAGCUAAUGAGCUAAAAACAAAAACAAAAAACAAACAAACAAAAACUUUGUGUAUAAUUUUCACGAUAUCCGCCACCACAGACAAGAAAAAAAGUCCUUGACAAAGGGUUGGACACGGCUGCUCUAAACACAAUGGAAGCACUGGUGGAUUGUAAGCGAAGACGUAUUACGUGAUUAAAGUUUCAAAAAGCAUACUUCACAAGAAAAACGGACUGUAUGGAGGUAAUGGUCGAAAACAAAGCCUUAAGGCUGAUAUAGUAACCCAGACAAGAGAUGAAGGUGGUUUGGGCCAAGUUAGAAGAAACAAUGGUAAUGGAUGGAUUUGAAAUAGAAUGAGGCCUAUAAGCGGCUAGAAACUGAGUGUUUAUUUGAUCUGUACAAAGCUCUGACUGGAAAAACUUCCUGAUACCGAACUAAAAUUCAUCUCGCGAUCACUUGUAUUCCUUGGGGACAAAAAGUCUUAUUCCAGGGACAAGUGACAGCUCUUCAAAUGUUUGAAAGUAACUAUGUCUCCCAGUAUCUCCAACGAUCUCCUUAACCAAUCCUCGUAAAAAUAAACUUUCGAUCGCCUUACCAUUCAGAUUACUGUCUUCUGCUCACCAGUCUGUUUACAAUAAAAUGCUUUUUUUUCGUGGGUCAAGCACAGAGUAGGAAAAUGAGAAAAGGGUAUGUAAGCAGGCAAGGGAAAAAAGUACCAAGGCUCUGGACAGCUACAAGCAAGUCAACCUGUCGGGGGAGCUGAAGUCUCCAUUGAAACUUGAUCUCUGUAACUUACUCCAUUGCAAAAGUCACUACGUGAAUCUACCUAUGCAAUGGUUUGCGUGUAUGAAACCUGCUCCGCAGAUCCAUCCACCUUUCUUGAAUGUACAAUCAACAGACUGAGCACAUAACCUCGAAAGGGUCCUCUUUUCCCCUGACGGCAGUGGGUUCUUCGCUUCUAAUACAUCUUCAGAAAUUUGAAAUGGCAGUUGCAAUGGCCAUUUGCAGUCUUAUACUAGCUUCAAUAAGCCAAUUUAUUUCAAGAGUCAGUACUGAGAAAGUCUUGACAAAGAAUAGUGGCAAACGGUAGCAUUUUUUCAGCCACUGGCCAUGCACUAUCAAGUUAAACUCUUCAAUCGGACAGCGAUGGCAAGUUCAUUUCUACGGCCUUCUACCUAACCUAGGGGCACAAUCAAUGUCUUGUGGCUGCCAGUGAAUUAAAUGUGCUUGAUAACACA